ACGAACGCUGGUGGCACGCCUAACACAUGCAAGUCGAACGAAGUAGCAAUACUUAGUGGCAGACGGGUGAGUAACAUGUGGGUAUCUACCCUUUGGCCUGGAAUAACACGAGGAAACUUGUGCUAAUACCGGAUAAGUCUUUACAGAGAAAGCUUUAUGCACCAUUGGAUGAGCCUGCACUUGAUUAGUUGUUGGUAGGGUAAUGGCCUACCAAGACUAUGAUCAAUAGCUGAUUUGAGAGGAUGAUCAGCCACAUUGGGACUGAGACACGGACCAGACUCCUACGGGAGGCGGCAGUAGGGAAUCUUGC
This 310-nucleotide ribosomal RNA is filed under the name uncultured Pelagibacterales bacterium. Its description in RNAcentral is "SSU rRNA". It matches the Rfam family "Bacterial small subunit ribosomal RNA", at positions 29 to 367 of the family's 1533-position model. The record is from RNAcentral. Lineage: Bacteria; Pseudomonadati; Pseudomonadota; Alphaproteobacteria; Candidatus Pelagibacterales.